This 367-nucleotide ribosomal RNA is filed under the name uncultured organism. Its description in RNAcentral is "bacterial LSU rRNA". It matches the Rfam family "Bacterial large subunit ribosomal RNA", at positions 2099 to 2465 of the family's 2925-position model. The record is from RNAcentral.
CUUUACUGUAGCCUGGUAUUGGGUUCGGGCUUUGACUGCGCAGGAUAGGUGGGAGACUGAGAAGUGUGCCUUGUGGGGCACACGGAGUCAACGGUGAGAUACCACUCUGUCAGAGCUAGAAUUCUAACCUUCACCCGUAAUCCGGGGAAGGAACCGUAUCAGGUGGGCAGUUUGACUGGGGCGGUCGCCUCCUAAAAGGUAACGGAGGCGCGCAAAGGUGUUCUCAGGCUGGUUGGAAAUCAGCCGUAGAGUGUAAAGGCAGAAGAACGCUUGACUGUGAGAGUGACAACUCAAGCAGGGUGGAAAUACGGUCUUAGUGAUCCGACGGUGCCGCAUGGAAGGGCCGUCGCUCAACGGAUAAAAGUUA